Molecule: small nuclear RNA, 135 nt
Filed under: Gonium pectorale
Lineage: Eukaryota; Viridiplantae; Chlorophyta; Chlorophyceae; Chlamydomonadales; Volvocaceae
Description: U4 spliceosomal RNA
Rfam family: U4 spliceosomal RNA
About the family: U4 small nuclear RNA (U4 snRNA) is a component of the major U2-dependent spliceosome. The structure of U4 snRNA from yeast and human has been reported. U4 snRNA presents a k-turn RNA motif in the 5p-SL related to recognition of Snu13 protein.
Source: Rfam by way of RNAcentral
AUCUUUGCGCUUGGGGCAAUGUCGCAGACUGUGAGGUCUAACCGAGUCGCGACUAUUGCUGGUUGAAAACUUAUUCCUUCCCCGUCGGUCGUGUUCCGUAAGGAGCCUUCCGCAAUAUUUGGCGGUCGCAGGACC